GCCAGGCGUGGUGGCUCAUGCCUGUAAUCCCAGCACUUUGGGAGGCUGAGGUGGGUGGAUCACUUGAGGCCAGGAGUUCAAGACCAGCCUGGCCAACAUGGUGAAACCCCAUCUCUA
This 117-nucleotide non-coding RNA is filed under the name Nomascus leucogenys (northern white-cheeked gibbon). Lineage: Eukaryota; Metazoa; Chordata; Mammalia; Primates; Hylobatidae. The record is from Rfam by way of RNAcentral.